CCCUUUGGGGUGUGACUGCGUACCUUUUGUAUAAUGGGUCAGCGACUUAUAUUCUGUAGCAAGGUUAACCGUAUAGGGGAGCCGCAGGGAAACCGAGUCUUAACCGGGCGUUAAGUUGCAGGGUAUAGACCCGAAACCCGGUGAUCUAGCCAUGGGCAGGUUGAAGGUUGGGUAACACUAACUGGAGGACCGAACCGACUAAUGUUGAAAAAUUAGCGGAUGACCUGUGGCUGGGGGUGAAAGGCCAAUCAAACCGGGAGAUAGCUGGUUCUCCCCGAAAGCUAUUUAGGUAGCGCCUCGUGAAUUCAUCUCCGGGGGUAGAGCACUGUUUCGGCUAGGGGGCCAUCCCGGCUUACCAACCCGAUGCAAACUGCGAAUACCGGAGAAUGUUAUCACGGGAGACACACGGCGGGUGCUAACGUCCGUCGUGAAGAGGGAAACAACCCAGACCGCCAGCUAAGGUCCCAAAGUCAUGGUUAAGUGGGAAACGAUGUGGGAAGGCCCAGACAGCCAGGAUGUUGGCUUAGAAGCAGCCAUCAUUUAAAGAAAGCGUAAUAGCUCACUGGUCGAGUCGGCCUGCGCGGAAGAUGUAACGGGGCUAAACCAU
This 607-nucleotide ribosomal RNA is filed under the name Salmonella enterica. RNAcentral describes it as "partial 23S ribosomal RNA". It matches the Rfam family "Bacterial large subunit ribosomal RNA", at positions 582 to 1190 of the family's 2925-position model. RNAcentral also lists the same sequence under 2 other names. Lineage: Bacteria; Pseudomonadati; Pseudomonadota; Gammaproteobacteria; Enterobacterales; Enterobacteriaceae. The record is from RNAcentral.